Molecule: long non-coding RNA, 1724 nt
Organism: Mirounga angustirostris (Northern elephant seal)
Lineage: Eukaryota; Metazoa; Chordata; Mammalia; Carnivora; Phocidae
Exons: 3
Source: RefSeq, a predicted model, not a curated record
CUAGCAUAUGUGUUGUCCACAUCUAUUGACCACAUCCCUAAUAGAUGCGAUCCAGGCUGGUGGAAACAGCACUCAAACAAGCUGUCCUGUAUUGACUAUAAUUUCAUGAGCAUGAGGUUCAAUGAGCCAUUGAACUAGACAUGGACCCAAAAGCUAUUUGAAGCUUUGCAGUGAUGCAGAUGCCAAUCGAUGACCCAGACUGCCUCUCAGGAUGCCUUCUGAUCCCCAGGCUUCCUGCCAACACCCACCUGCCUGCUAUCCCUAAGGAAGGAGGUGCCAUCAGGAACUGCAUCACAGAGGAGCGCUCUUGGCUCAGAGAGGUGAUGUCACCCGUGGGAACUCACCUGGCCACCACACAGAGGGAAGCCAAGGUCGGAACCCAGAAGAAAGGGGAACAUUCUUGCAAGCAACAUGGUGAUGUGAGCGGGUGUAGAGUCAGCGGGGACAGCUGGGUGUGACCAUCUUCUAGCUGCCUGGAUCCAAGACUGUAUGGGUCAUCGUUGAACCCGGCUUGGAGUCGACCGCAUAGAGGUGUCCAGAUUCAGUUCCAUUCCAACAAUCCAGUGUUGAUUUAUCAGGUACCUGCUAAGCACAGACCCUGUGCUUGGGAUUGGAAGUGAAAGAACAAGAUGCAGUCCCUUAGCAGAGAAGAGACAACCAUGGUGAACACACACCAAGCAGUGGCUGAGCCAACGGUCCAGAGGCAAAGGGACAGGAAACUACCCAAACUGACCAGUGGAGACAGUAACAUCUGCGUAACUUAUCUUUAAAAAUGUGGAGGUGAAGCCUCAUUCUCCAGGAGAACGGGCACUGCUGGUUGCGGUGUCCAGAAAUUCUUAAUGCAGCUAAACUGAAACAUAGACCGUGCCUCCAUCUCAGUAAAUGUAUUGCAAUGGUGACGAUGAGACCUGUAAUUUUUUUUUUUGCUAAGGUCAUGAGUGAAUAUUGGAAGUAAAUGACCUCCAUAUUAAAAAUGUAUUAAGGAAUAAUACAUUUUAGAUCACUAGCCAAAAUAGCAAUGUACUUUCUGCAAUCCGACUUCCAGAGCUCUAAGGUGAAUCAUUAGAAGAAACUAGAGUCCAAAGAUGCUAGGUGGGAAACUGAUGAAGUAUGUCAUCACUAUGUCCAUAUUCCAGUGAAAAGAAAAGAAGCUCAUGAAGAGAACUGUGACAAGGCUGACUGACAGACAGUGGGGGAUGAGGGGGUGUCGACAUGAGAUCUUUCAAAAAGGCCUAUCUUGAAGAUAAGUCGACUCAGAUUUUGUAGGAACUAGGUGACUUUGAUGGGUAGUAGAAUGAAUCAUAACAUGUAAAACUACUUAAAUAAAAAUUUAUUGACUAAAAAAUUUUUUUAUUGACUUAAAAAAUUGUGGAGCUGGUAUCUGGUUGGCUGUGGGUGUUUGCAGUUAGGAUUGUUGCUCGAAUGUUCACUUUGCUUUGCCUUUACUGGACUAUUCCCGGGGCCUGGCUUAGCUGAUGCUUUGGGAAAAUGAUUUUGAGCUGUACAGAUAGCUUUUUUCAGAUGUACACUCAAGCUACAGAAGGAAAAAUUAGAUAAAAGGAGCAGCUGAGAGGGACCUCAAAGAUCCCCUGGGACACCUGCUUUCAACCUUGGUUUUCUGGAGCCUCAGGGUUCCAGGUGGGCAGGGAGACAGCUCUGGGAAAGGGGAUGCUGAUGGCGUGGGCUCAGGGUCUCCUGCCUCCACCAAAAGAGCUCAGUGGAAC